RNAcentral lists this ribosomal RNA (1290 nucleotides) under Molanna angustata. RNAcentral's name for it is "16S ribosomal RNA". The stretch from base 1049 to 1207 matches the Rfam family "Archaeal large subunit ribosomal RNA", at positions 2542 to 2701 of the family's 2987-position model. Lineage: Eukaryota; Metazoa; Arthropoda; Insecta; Trichoptera; Molannidae. The record is from RNAcentral.
GAAGUUAAUUUAUUAAUUUUUUAAAAUUUUAUUGUUUUUUAAAAUAAUAAUAAUAAUAAAAUUGUUUUAGUUUAAAUAAUAACAAAUAAUUAAAUUUAUAGAAAAUUAGUAUAUUUAUAGAAUAAUGAAAUAAAUUAAAUUUAAACUAUAUAAAAUUUAAUUUAAAUUAUUGUAUUUUGGGUAUCAAAGAAUAUUAAUUAAAUUUUAUAUAAUUUAAUUAUCUCGAAAUUUAAAGAGUUAAUUAAUUAAUUUAGUUAUUAUAGUAUAAAUAUUAAUAAUAGUUAAUUAGAAAUGAAAUGUUAAUCGAUUUAAAUUAUAUCUGGUUUUUUAAGAAAUAAAUUUAAUUUAAUUAAUUAUAUAAAAAUUUUAAGUAUUUAAAAUUUUUAAUUAAUUAGUUAUUUAAUGGGGGAUAAGCUUCUUUAAAGAUUUAUAUAAAAUUAUUUAAAUUAUAAAAAAUUAUAAGAGUAUAAUUAUUUUGUAAUUAAAAUUUUUUAUAAAUUAUUUUUUUAAAAUAUAAUUUAAUAAUUUUAAUUAAUUUUAUAUUAAAAUAAUAAUUUAAAUUAUUAAAAUUUUAUAAUAAUGAUGUUAUUAGUAUGAUUAUUUUAAUUUUAUAAUAAUAAAAAUUUGAUUAAAUUUAUGAAUUCGGCCAAAUUAUAUUCGCCUGUUUAUCAAAAACAUCUCUUUUUGAUUUAAUAAUAUAAGGUUUAACCUGCCCCCUGAAUUUAAUUUAAAGGGCCGCAGUAUUUAAUUGUGCAAAGGUAGCAUAAUAAUUAGUCUUUUAAUUGAGGACUAGAAUGAAUGGUUGAACGAAAUAUAAGCUUUUUUAGUUUAAUAAACAAAAUUUAAUUUUUAGUUAAAACUCUAAAAUGAUUUUAAAAGACAAGAAGACCCCGUAGAUCUUCAUAUUUAUUUAAUAAUAUAAAGUUAUUUUAUAGGUAUUAUAUUGGGGUGAUUAAAAAAUUUAAUAAACUUUUUUAAAAUUUUUAACAAAAAUUUUUGAUUUAAUAUAUGAUUUAUUUAUAAUAAUUAUUAGAAAAGAUACCUUGGGGAUAACAGCGUUAUUAUAAUUUUAAGUUCUUAUUAAAAUUAUAGAUUGCGACCUCGAUGUUGGAUUAAAAUUUAAUUUAAAUGCAGGAGUUUAAGGUUUAGGUCUGUUCGACCUUUAAAAUUUUACAUGAUCUGAGUUCAAACCGGCGUGAGCCAGGUUGGUUUUUAUCUUUAAAAAAUUAAAAUAAUUUAGUACGAAAGGAUUAGUUAUUUAAAAUAAUUUUUAAAAUUUGAUUAUUAAUA